UUGGCAUUGUCAAAAUUGACGAAUUUAAAAGAAUUAAGCGAGCAGCAACGAACUAGCCCCCUAUUAUUGUUCGCGUAACCCCAUCGAAUUGGCAUGGGGGCCCGCCAAGACACUCAGCAACCACUGACAAAGACGAGAUGGGUGUGCUCAUUAAAUUUUACACUACGGACUGGCCCCUUUUAUUAAAAAUUUUGCUCCACCCUGUAUCUAUUUCAAGCGGUCUCUGACUUGUUGGGAACAUGUCAUAUUGUUCGAGCAUGGCGGAAGAUCGGCCAGACACUGGGGUGAGUCAAGUUGGGGAAGAUGUAGGGUAUGCCAACAACCCUACAUUUGUUGUAGUUUUAAUAAAUUAUAUUUGACCUA
Long non-coding RNA from Tribolium castaneum (red flour beetle), 363 nucleotides. RefSeq lists it as uncharacterized. The transcript is spliced from 3 exons. The record is from RefSeq and is a predicted model, not a curated record. Lineage: Eukaryota; Metazoa; Arthropoda; Insecta; Coleoptera; Tenebrionidae.